Molecule: ribosomal RNA, 166 nt
Filed under: uncultured bacterium
Lineage: Bacteria
Description: partial 16S ribosomal RNA
Rfam family: Bacterial small subunit ribosomal RNA
Source: RNAcentral
GUAAGGGAAUCUUCCACAAUGGACGAAAGUCUGAUGGAGCAACGCCGCGUGAGUGAAGAAGGGUUUCGGCUCGUAAAACUCUGUUGUUAAAGAAGAACAUAUCUGAGAGUAACUGUUCAGGUAUUGACGGUAUUUAACCAGAAAGCCACGGCUAACUACGUACCAG